CUGCUGUGUUUUUCUUUGUUGUGUAGGUUAUGUAUUUAUAGUGCUGUUUGGGGACAAGGAUUUGUUACAAAAAUUGCAGAUUUUAGGAGAUUGAGAUGGAGAUAGGCGCGUAACAGACUGGAUGAGGAUGAGGAUGAUGGUUUGUGAUUUGUUACGCAUGAACCUGGACUGUUCUUGGGACUCAUGGACAUUUUUGGGACUUUGGACA
RNAcentral lists this long non-coding RNA (208 nucleotides) under Medicago truncatula (barrel medic). RNAcentral describes it as "long non-coding RNA (MTRU_LNC006796)". Lineage: Eukaryota; Viridiplantae; Streptophyta; Magnoliopsida; Fabales; Fabaceae. The record is from RNAcentral.